This 342-nucleotide long non-coding RNA is filed under the name Lactuca sativa (garden lettuce). Its description in RNAcentral is "long non-coding RNA (LSAT_LNC005226)". Lineage: Eukaryota; Viridiplantae; Streptophyta; Magnoliopsida; Asterales; Asteraceae. The record is from RNAcentral.
CCCGGCAAUUUACCCGACCCAAGAAGCCGACAUCAAGAGUUGCUGGUCGGGAUCUGCCACCAUCUUACCAGGAAAUAUUCCGGCCAUGUUAUACACCGGCAGCGAUUCAAAGUCCCGUCAAGUCCAAGACCUCGCAUGGCCCAAAAACCUCUCCGAUCCUUUCCUCCGUGAAUGGGUGAAACACCCAAAAAACCCACUCAUAACCCCACCGGAGGGCGUCAAAGACGACUGUUUCCGUGACCCUAGCACCGCCUGGCUCGGCGACGACGGCGUAUGGCGGAUAGUCGUCGGUGGUGAUCGUGACAACAACGGUAUGGCGUUUCUGUACCAGAGUACUGAUUU